CUCUGCAGCCAAAAAAGGCAUGAUAAAGGAAGGAAUCCUAAAACUGUAUUAGCUAGAUCUAAUAGGUUUUGAGGACCAAAAUCUCAAGUAUGAUAACUAGUUUAGGAGUUGAAUAGCACCAUAAUUCAUAUUGAGAAUUUUCAUCGGGAGAAGCAUUUAGGAUACUCAUCUUAAAUGCUAGCAGUGCGGCAAAAUGCUGGCGGCAGGAACUUAAUAACCUCAUGUAUUUUUUAUCAUUGUGAGCACUGAAUAAAGAUCUAUUUGCAGUCAAGUUGGGAGGAAAAACAUCUAAUUCCAUGAUGUUUUGGACAAGCAUUAGCACAUUAUUGACUUGCAUAUGUAACAUGUUCAAAUUAUCUAUUAAAAGAAUGCCACAUAAGUGUUGGUGGAGGUUACCAAAUGACAUAUUUGUCUCAACAUAUGCACAAGCGCAGGCAUCUCAUGAAAACAGAACACAUGCUCAUGUAGACAAUUGCACACAAACAUCUAAUUCCAUGAUGUUUUGGACAAGCAUUAGCACAUUAUUGACUUGCAUAUGUAACAUGUUCAAAUUAUCUAUUAAAAGAAUGCCACAUAAGUGUUGGUGGAGGUUACCAAAUGACAUAUUUGUCUCAACAUAUGCACAAGCGCAGGCAUCUCAUGAAAACAGAACACAUGCUCAUGUAGACAAUUGCAC
Molecule: long non-coding RNA, 676 nt
Filed under: Citrus maxima (pomelo)
Lineage: Eukaryota; Viridiplantae; Streptophyta; Magnoliopsida; Sapindales; Rutaceae
Description: long non-coding RNA (CMAX_LNC001599)
Source: RNAcentral